GUGGGAGCAUCAUCUUCUCUUUAUUUUUACUGACUCCUUCUGAUUCCUUCCUCCCAAAUUUUAUUUUAUUUCACAGAUAGAGUUUGGAUGUCCAGGAGAUUCACCGAGAGCGACAACAACCACCGUUGGCCUUUGUGGACUCCGUCGCUGCCCCAGGCUAUGGAAUCCUCGAAGGUUGGGCAAGAACUGCAAAUAAAUAACCACAGUAUAUGGUUCUCAUCCUCCCUCAACUCAGGUUACAGUUGCUGUAUUGCAGUUACCUUCUUGGGCAGCUCUACCUCUGUCGUGAACUGUGAUGGUUUUCCCUUGCUCCAU
Lolium rigidum is the source of this 315-nucleotide long non-coding RNA. RefSeq lists it as uncharacterized. The record is from RefSeq and is a predicted model, not a curated record. NCBI's taxonomy places the organism in Eukaryota, Viridiplantae, Streptophyta, Magnoliopsida, Poales, Poaceae. The transcript is spliced from 3 exons.